UACGAGGGCGCAAGCGUUGUCCGGAAUUAUUGGGCGUAAAGAGCUCGUAGGCGGUCUGUCACGUCUGCUGUGAAAACCCGGGGCUUAACCCCGGGCUUGCAGUGGAUACGGGCAGACUAGAGGCAGGUAGGGGAGAAUGGAAUUCCCGGUGUAGCGGUGAAAUGCGCAGAUAUCGGGAGGAACACCGGUGGCGAAGGCGGUUCUCUGGGCCUGACCUGACGCUGAGGAGCGAAAGCGUGGGGAGCGAACAGG
This 252-nucleotide ribosomal RNA is filed under the name uncultured bacterium. RNAcentral's name for it is "partial 16S ribosomal RNA". It matches the Rfam family "Bacterial small subunit ribosomal RNA", at positions 524 to 776 of the family's 1533-position model. The record is from RNAcentral.